RNAcentral lists this ribosomal RNA (493 nucleotides) under Candidatus Oleimmundimicrobium sp. Its description in RNAcentral is "bacterial SSU rRNA". It matches the Rfam family "Bacterial small subunit ribosomal RNA", at positions 1042 to 1533 of the family's 1533-position model. The record is from RNAcentral. Lineage: Bacteria; Bacillati; Actinomycetota; Candidatus Aquicultoria; Candidatus Subteraquimicrobiales; Candidatus Oleimmundimicrobiaceae.
UGCAUGGCUGUCGUCAGCUCGUGUCGUGAGAUGUUGGGUUAAGUCCCGCAACGAGCGCAACCCCCAUCCUAUGUUGCCAGCAUUAAGUUGGGGACUCAUAGGAAACUGCCCCGGUCAACGGGGAGGAAGGUGGGGAUGACGUCAAGUCAUCAUGCCCUUUAUAUCCUGGGCUGCACACGUGCUACAAUGGCCGGUACAAUAGGCUGCGAAGGGGCGACCCGGAGCGAAUCCUUUAAAACCGGUCCCAGUUCGAAUUGAAGGCUGCAACUCGCCUUCAUGAAGUUGGAGUCGCUAGUAAUCGCGAAUCAGCAACGUCGCGGUGAAUGCGUUCCCGGGCCUUGUACACACCGCCCGUCACACCACCCGAGUCGUCUGUACCCGAAGUCGCUGGCUUAACCCGCAAGGGAAAGAGGCGCCGAAGGUAUGGGGGGUAAGGGGGGUGAAGUCGUAACAAGGUAGCUGUACCGGAAGGUGCGGCUGGAUCACCUCCUUU